This 417-nucleotide ribosomal RNA is filed under the name uncultured bacterium. Its description in RNAcentral is "bacterial SSU rRNA". It matches the Rfam family "Bacterial small subunit ribosomal RNA", at positions 29 to 490 of the family's 1533-position model. The record is from RNAcentral.
AACGAACGCUGGCGGCAGGCCUAACACAUGCAAGUCGAACGCCCGUAGCAAUACGGGAGUGGCAGACGGGUGAGUAACGCGUGGGAACGUGCCUUCGGUUCGGAAUAACUCAGGGAAACUUGAGCUAAUACCGGAUACGUCCGUAAGGAGAAAGAUUUAUCGCCGAAGGAUCGGCCCGCGUCGGAUUAGCUAGUUGGUGAGGUAACGGCCCACCAAGGCGACGAUCCGUAGCUGGUCUGAGAGGAUGAUCAGCCACACUGGGACUGAGACACGGCCCAGACUCCUACGGGAGGCAGCAGUGGGGAAUAUUGGACAAUGGGCGAAAGCCUGAUCCAGCCAUGCCGCGUGAGUGAAGAAGGCCUUAGGGUUGUAAAGCUCUUUCAGCGGGGAAGAUAAUGACGGUACCCGCAGAAGAAG